GCGAGUCGAACGAACAGAACUAUGUCUGUUAGUGGCAUACUGCUCAGUAACACGUAGCUAACCUACCCUUAGGACGUUUAUACCCCCGAGAAAUUGGGGCUAAUAAGCGAUAGAUGUGAUGUCCUGGAAUGGUAUUACGUCUAAAAGUAUAUCAUACACGUUUGAUAUACGCCUAAGGACGGGGCUGCGGCUGAUCAGGCUGUUGGUGAGGUAAUGGCUCACCAAACCAUUGACCAGUACGGGCCAUGAGAGUGGUAGCCCGGAGAUGGACACUGAGACAAGGGUCCAGGCCCUACGGGGCGCAGCAGGCGCGAAACCUCCUCAAUGCACUAAAGUGCGAAGGGGUUACCUCGAGUGCCAUCUGAUGAAGGUGGCUUUUCCUUGGUCUAAAAAGCCUAGGGAAUAAGAGGGGGGCAAGACUGGUGUCAGCCGCCGCGGUAACACCAGCCCCUCGAGU
RNAcentral lists this ribosomal RNA (457 nucleotides) under uncultured archaeon. RNAcentral's name for it is "bacterial SSU rRNA". It matches the Rfam family "Archaeal small subunit ribosomal RNA", at positions 53 to 489 of the family's 1478-position model. The record is from RNAcentral.